RNA transcript from Anopheles stephensi (Asian malaria mosquito), 5557 nucleotides. It is a transcript of the gene named choline/ethanolamine kinase, with no coding region annotated. The transcript has 8 exons. The record is from RefSeq and is a predicted model, not a curated record. NCBI's taxonomy places the organism in Eukaryota, Metazoa, Arthropoda, Insecta, Diptera, Culicidae.
AAAAACAAUAAGUUUCAAACCGUUGACCUGGAAGGACGUGUUCGUUCGCUUGCUCCCGUGUGCGUUUUUUUGCUAUACGUAAAUGUUAUCGUUGUUCUCAGAAUUUGGUCGCUUAAGCUAGUAAAACCGAGUGAAUCGAAAGCUUGGCCCAGUGUACGAUAAAACGAAACCAGUGCAAUUAUUUUAAAGACGCUACCAUUUUUUUCUGGCUGGCGCAGUGUUACCGCAUGCGGUUUGGAUAAAGAAGUGGAAAGAAAACGCAUCGCUGCAUCAGGUGGAUCAGCCCGAUUACUUUGAUGUAAAGCAAGAGUAAAAAAAGGCAUAAUUUGUCAUUCGAAUGCCAAAAAAAAACGGUUGUGCAAAAUCUGUUCCGGGUUGUGAAAUGUAAUUGGUGAUAAUUUAGGUUAUCGUUGUGAUUGUUAAUUAUUUGUACAAAUUCGGUGGUAAUUUGUGGCCUGUGUAUAUCGAUACGCGACGCAAUCGGGUGCUAGCCAAAGUGAGCGAGAAUAGCGGUGAAUUUAUCGUUUACUUCACGCAGUGCUGUUGCUAUUUUUACAUUCCCGACUUGCAUGUAAAAAGAAUAGAAAAAAGCAAAGAAAAAACGAUUGCCAUUACACCCCGUAGUACGCAGCGAAGGGGUAGUGACGUUUUCUACGCGCAAAGUUUGAAACGCACCAGGCCCCCUCUAAACGCUGUUACCAGCCCGUUAUCAGCAGCCACACAUACACACACGCGUAUAAUCGGAAGGCGCAUCGAUCGUGCCAUCGCGCACACAACACAGCCCACAAAGUCCAAAAAUCUACCCAGCUUAUCUGUAGCGCUAGGGCGAAGGAGUGAACAAUCAUCACCCGAAACCACGCGCCACGGUGGCCUGACAUUUUGGGCCGUAAACUAGAUUUGCCGGCGUGUCUGCUGCUGCGUGUGGCUCAUCCACUGCAUCCGGGGGCGAAAGAUUCCCGAUUACACCAGCCAAACGCGCCCUUGCAGGAGAUAGCGCGAUGAAUAACCUCAUUGCGAAGAAGCGUCCAGAUCCGGUGGCAGAUUCACUGAAGCAGUUGUUAAAGGCCAACUCUCCCACGGAGAUGCGGGACAUUGCGGCACGGAUCUGCCGGGACUAUCUGACCGGUGCGUGGAAAACGAUAUCCGCCGACGAGCUGCAGCUGAAGCGCAUUAGCGGUGGACUCUCCAACUUCCUGUACUACGUCAGCCUGCCGGAGCAUCACUAUUACAGCAACAAUAACAAUGGUGGAUCGAAAUCGAAUCCCAGCUCGCGGCGAGGUUCCUUCGCAUCGGAGCGCGUUGUCACGAAGACGUCCAGCAAGACCAGAAACGGUAGCAAGCGUGCCCGAAAGGAUAGCUGUGCCGGAUUGCUAGAACCGAAAGAGGUGCUGCUACGAAUUUACGGGCAAACGCACGGAGAACAUGCGCUGGAAACAAUGCUCACCGAAUCGGUAGUCUUUACGCUGCUGAGCGAACGCAAGCUGGGCCCCAAACUGCACGGCAUCUUCCCCGGUGGACGUAUCGAGCAGUACAUUCCGGCCCGGGCACUGCUAACAGCGGAGCUAAGCGAUGCAAAAAUUUCACUCAAGGUGGCGGAAAAGAUGGCCGCCAUCCACAGCAUGGACAUACCGGUUUCGAAGGAACCGGACUGGAUCUGGAACAAGAUGAACCGAUGGUUGAAGGGCAUCACUGGCAUACUGGAAACGAUCGAGCGCGAUCGUGCGAACGGAAACACCGUGCUGAGCAAGGACGGUGGCGGCGGAGACCAAACAGCGAACACCAAGCAGCGGGACCAGGACGACGAACGCAUACUGACCGAGAUGGAUCUGGCGGGUGAGGUUGAAUGGUUACGAUCGGUGGUGGAGAGCGAAGAUUUUCCGGUCGUCUUUUGUCACAACGAUUUGCAGGAAGGCAACAUAUUGCUGCGGCAAGACUUUACCACGAUGCACGACACCACCACCAGCACCUAUCGCGAAUGCUCAACGCUCGAUAACUUUGACGAGUCAACGCAACUCGAUUCACAUUUCAGUAGCAUCCUUAUAUCGAAUGGUGUGGUGCCUAACAGUGAAUCAAUCACCACAACCGAUGGAGGAAAUAUCAAUCUGAAUCGAAUUUCAAGAAAACGUUCGCUGGAUCACGAUUCGAUGGAGAACGAUCUGGACAAUACGCGCGACUCCGUGCUGAGCGGCAACUCGCAAGCCCUCUCGGAUGCAAACUCCGUCACGGACGGCGAACCGGAACUGAUGAUCAUCGAUUUCGAGUACUGUGCCUACAACUACCGUGGAUUCGAUCUCGCCAACCACUUCCUCGAGUGGACGUUCGACUACACCAACGCGCAGUCCCCGUACUUCCACCACAAGCUGGACCAGUACCCUUCCGUCGAGCAGCAGUUACCCGGUCUCGACGGCCACCGUGCGCGCGCGGAGAUGCCUGCCGCGGGAGCGCUCUGUAAGAAAAGCACAGACAGACACACACACACAAUACACACUGCUUGCCCACGGCAGGAACAAAAAGGAUAAAGUAUCGCUCCUUCUCUCUGGUGGAUGAUGAUGAUGAUGGUGGUGGUGGUGGUGGUGCAUCAGAGCAUCAGUAAUGGUUUCUCUCGUUCUAGAAGGGCCCCCGGAAUGCCUUCGGCCGGCCCCGAUUUCUGAGUGUAUUGAUAGGCGUGCGUGUGUGUGCGCGCGUGUGUGAGAGGGGGCUGGGUACGUGCGUGCUUGUGUGUGUGUGUGUGAUUUGCACACUCUGUACCAGUACCACACGGAAGGGUUGGAACAUACACACACGCACACCUCGAGCAGUCGUCCUGAUUGAGUCGUCCGCCUUCUCCCUGUACUGCACUGCACUAAGAGCGAAUCUACCAGAAGUAGAGUUUGUUGUCACCUCAUUUACCAUUUCGUUUCCUUCCAGUCAUUCAUUCAUUCAUUCAUUCCGCGCCUUGUUUGUUGAUGUUGUUGUUUCUGUGUCACGUAAACGUUGUUCUACUUGACUUCCCGUUCAACAGAUAUGGAUAAUUGCAGUGUGAGACAUAGCAAUAAGAUCAUUCAAGAUCAUCAAGAAGCGAGAGUAGGAGAAGGGCGUCCUUUCCGUUGAGCUGUUGGAUUCUCUCUUUAAAAUCAGUCAGGCCAAACUGCAUCAGUGUUUGAUUCGAGCAAAAGUGCAGUUGAUCUAGGCCUUGAACAUCUUGAAGCACGAAUCAGAUUAGAAAGUAGAGACGCCGCCACUAGAUGCCGUAACGUACCAUGGUCGAACUAGGCUAAUCCUUGCUUCAAUUUACUGUCGACUGUCGACCGUUUUUUGGCAAUUUUUUUCAUCAGAAUAGCAUAAAAGUAAAAGCUCAGGAUGUGCUUAUUGUUUUACCCGACACUGUAAAUCGUCCGCUGCGAUACAAUUAUCUUGUUUCUGUUGCAUUUAUGUAUCACAAUCAAUUCAUAACCCGUAUAACAACAACAAAAAAGACAACCAACUAACAGUCGAAUGAAUGAAAAGUCGAAUUAUAAUGUGUUCUUUACCACACACACUCACACCCAGUGUGUUUCCUUUUGCCGGAUGUCCCUUUUCCCCCCUGACGAUCACUAACCGGUUUUGCUUUUGUUUGUCGUUUCGAAUUUUCCAUCUCUUCCCACCCUUGCUGGCUGCGUAGGAAAAAUUCAUCGUGGAGUACCUGAGCCAUCUAGCGCCGCCGGACGAUGGCCACGAGCUUGGCGACGACGAAGAGGAAGGGCGCUCCAAGGUGGGCUCAGCGGCGGGCAGUGAGAUAGACGAGAUCGAGCAGGUGCGUCGUGAGGUGCAGUGCUUUACGAUGGCUUCCCACCUGUUCUGGAGCCUUUGGGCGAUUGUGAACGUGUACCAGGAGAUUGAGUUCGGCUACAUGGAGUACGCCAUUUGCCGGCUGAAGCAGUACCAGCAAGCGAAAAAAUGCUACCUCGACACGAUGCAUACCGGUGAGGGGGAGCAAACACCGCCCCCAACACCGGUAGAUCCGGAGAAAUGAGCUGGCAGCGUGACGUGUGUGUGUGUGGUGUGUGUGUGCUAUGGGAAAGGUUGUUGCGGAAGGAUAGAUUUUACACCUGAGAACACUAAACUCUGAAUCUCGUACCGCGGUCGUAUCGAGUCCCUUUCCCUUUUGCUGACCAAUCGCGCAUUCACCCUUUCCCUCAUACGCAUCCUGGCCGGAGGCUGUGCUUGUACUUGUGUCGGAACGAAUUGGCUGUAAGACUCUUGAGUUAAGCAAAACAGAUUUUCUCAGAAUUAUUAUUAUUACACGCACACACGCACACGCUCACUUUUACUAGACGGAGACAGAUAUGAAAGCUUAAGGCGGCUGCUCCUUACGGAUGCGGAACAGAUAGUUCGUGCGAAUAUGGAUAUUUAGCUGACGGAUAAGACAGUGACUAGAUUAGUUGUUAUUGAGGAAACGCCAGUGUUGCCAACAUUUUUGCGAAGGAUUUCUGUGUGUGUGUGUGGGUGUGUGUUAGAAGGAUAAGGGAAUGUCCUAAAGCAGCAGUGUCGUCGUCAUUAGGUGAACAGCAGUAUUACAAGGGAGAGGGAAGCGCUAUAACUAUGUACGAGAUGCUAAUUUCUGUGGUAUUCUAGCUAUUACUGGUGUCCGAUGUUGUUGUGGGCUAUUUAUUGUUCUCUUUUCUUCUGCUGUGUGCUGGUGCCAUCGCGUGUGCCCUUCACAUGCUCCCCGUAUCCUAAUCGUAGAGGACGAAAGAGGACGCUAGGAAACGGGAAUGGUGAUAUGACGAAUUUAUACCGGAUUUGCUUUGUUUUAAUGUUUUAUUAACUUUGUUCUUAAUCAAGAAACCCCAAGGAGACUUUUGUUUUGCUUUUUCCUCUUUCAAUAAAUGUGUAACAUUUUGAUUUUAAUUCUUUUUUUUUCGUAACGGUUUUAGCUUAUGCUUCUCCUAGGAAAGCUCCAUGAUGAUGAAAUGUAGGAAUGUGUGUGUGUGUGUGUGUGUUUGUAAGUAGGACGACUUAUGACUGAUAGUAGAAGCCGUUUAUAAGGAAAUAGAAAAGCGUCAAGCAAAGAUUGAAAGAAAAUCCACGUUAAACAACUAAAAAAAAAGCGCCUAAAACACUGCACACUGCAAAAGGUUGUGUAGAAAAGUCCCCGAUACAUAUCCGUACCCGAAUAGAUGAUACGAGCUACAUUUUUACCAGUACAGCAGAGUUUAGGAUAAAGAAAGUUUAGGAAUCGAUCAAUCGUAUUGUGCACUUUCCCCUCUUUUUUGCGGAUAUAAAAUUAACUCUCUAUGCGUACUUAUUGAUACGCUGGUGUGCUUGACACGCAGGCCUAAUAAAAAGGAGAGUAGUGGUAGGCGAAUCGUUGGCAUGUUACAUUUAGCUAGCGCUAAUCUUAAAGACAAAAAACCCUUUCGAGCGGCACCACGAACCUGGCGAACCUAUCGUCGGUUGGGUGGGGUGUAGCGGCGUGUUGUUAGUAAUGUAAUUAGAAAAUCUUUCACGCUCCUUUUCAAGCUUAUACAUAUUGCAGAUCUUAUAUAACUAUAUACAUGAAUAAAGAACCUUUUCAGUACCACCUUGAUCACCUGAA